GGACCACAUCACGAAUACUUAGAAAAGGUUGCCAGAAACAGAAACAGAAACAGAAAGAUGCCAUGGGGGGGUGGCAAAGGGUUGUGGCAAGUGUGGCAAAGAAAUCAUGGGAUACGCGGAAGAUGAAUUUUUAAUUUGUUGCUGCUGCCUCCCGUUUUAAUUGUUGUUGACAGACGACUGACUGGCUGGAGAUCGGGUAUUCAGAGCAAGGACUCAGCUUCAGCUUCAGCUUCAGCUUCAGAACUGACUGACGGCGCAAUUUGCAAUCCUUUUUCUUUUGCCUGAGCUUAGAGACUACUUUCUGAAAGGGGAGUGAUGGAAAUUUUAAUUAAAGAAAUUGCGGUUAAUCCCGUUAGAAGACAGCUAACCAAAAAAAAAAAUGAAAUGCUUCACGAGGUUGCUUCAGAUGCGCCCUCGGGGGGUCAGCACUUUCGUGUGGCAACAACACAACCGAAAUUGGCUGCCAAUUGUGGAAGAGUUCCAAGGGAAGAAGAGUUGAAGAGUUUAUGCUACGCAUGAAUAUGAUGUAAUUGUUCCGGUUCGACAUGGCAACGUGCCACAUCAAAAGGUGGAACGAUAUUCACACAAACACCUUGAGCCACCGCAGCCCCCGCAGCCCCCGCAGCCCCCGCAGCCGCCCACCAACCGCCCGGCCACCUGGUAACGUUUUCAUUUUAACUUGAAUUUUCAGGCUUCUAAUGGAAUUAUCCAAGGGGAAUGGGCUCCAAGAAUGGGGUGCGGGCUACGCUCAUACUUGGAUUUGUCAAAGGAUUUUGAGUAAUUUAAUUGUAUGCCAUUUGCACAUCAAUUUGCAUUCAAAAUUUCAAAUUCACAACAUUGUCGAGAGGACAUGCAGAGCGCCAAAGCUUGAGUACAGUGC
This 880-nucleotide long non-coding RNA is filed under the name Drosophila guanche. Lineage: Eukaryota; Metazoa; Arthropoda; Insecta; Diptera; Drosophilidae. The record is from RNAcentral.